UUCCAUAUAAAAUUAUGUAUGGUAGUACCUGCUCUAUGUUUAUUAUUAAUGGCCGCAGUAUCUUGACUGUGCGAAGGUAGCAUAAUUAAUUGCCUUAUAAUUGAAGGCUUGUUUGAAUGGUUUGACGCGGUGAGUAUUAAUGUCUUAUUUUUUUCUGAAAUUGGUAUGGAGGGCACAGAAUCCUCCUUUAUUAAUUAGACGGAAAGACCCCAGGAUCUUUCUUUUUUGUCUGGGGCAGAUUAGUAUGUUUUAUACUUAUUUAGAUCCUUAUAAGGUUUAAUGAUUUAAGUUACCCUGGGGAUAACAGUGUUAUAGUUUAAUAGAGUUCUUAUCGAAUAAACUGUUUGCCACCUCGAUGUUGACUUAGGUAUUUAGGGUGGGCGUAGUAGUUUGCUCUUUUGGUCUGUUCGACCAUUUUUACCUCC
RNAcentral lists this ribosomal RNA (425 nucleotides) under Proteocephalus filicollis. RNAcentral describes it as "partial 16S ribosomal RNA". It matches the Rfam family "Bacterial large subunit ribosomal RNA", at positions 1831 to 2599 of the family's 2925-position model. The record is from RNAcentral. Lineage: Eukaryota; Metazoa; Platyhelminthes; Cestoda; Proteocephalidea; Proteocephalidae.